AGGGUUCGAUUAUGGCUCAGAACGUACGCUGGCGGCACGCCUAACACAUGCAAGUCGAACGAAGUAGCAAUACUUAGUGGCAGACGGGUGAGUAACAUGUAGGUAUCUGCCCUUUGGCCUGGAAUAACACGAGGAAACUUGUGCUAAUACCGGAUAAGUCUUUACGGAGAAAGCUUUAUGCACCAUUGGAUGAGCCUGCACUUGAUUAGUUUGUUGGUGGGGUAAUGGCCUACCAAGACUGUGAUCAAUAGCUGAUUUGAGAGGAUGAUCAGCCACAUUGGGACUGAGACACGGCCCAAACUCCUACGGGAGGCAGCAGUGGGGAAUCUUGCACAAUGGAGGAAACUCUGAUGCAGCGAUGCCGCGUGAGUGAAGAAGGCCCUUGGGUUGUAAAGCUCUUUCGUCGGGGAAGAAAAUGACUGUACCCGAAUAAGAAGGUCCGGCUAACUUCGUGCCAGCAGCCGCGGUAAUACGAAGGGACCUAGCGUAGUUCGGAAUUACUGGGCUUAAAGAGUUCGUAGGUGGUUGAAAAAGUUAGUGGUGAAAUCCCAGAGCUUAACUCUGGAACUGCCAUUAAAACUUUUCAGCUAGAGUAUGAUAGAGGAAAGCAGAAUUUCUAGUGUAGAGGUGAAAUUCGUAGAUAUUAGAAAGAAUACCAAUUGCGAAGGCAGCUUUCUGGAUCAUUACUGACACUGAGGAACGAAAGCAUGGGUAGCGAAGAGGAUUAGAUACCCUCGUAGUCCAUGCCGUAAACGAUGUGUGUUAGACGUUGGAAAUUUAUUUUCAGUGUCGCAGGGAAACCGAUAAACACACCGCCUGGGGAGUACGACCGCAAGGUUAAAACUCAAAUGAAUUGACGGGGACCCGCACAAGUAGUGGAGCAUGUGGUUUAAUUCGAAGAUACGCGCAGAACCUUACCAACACUUGACAUGUUCGUCGCGACUCUAAGAGAUUAGAGUUUUCGGUUCGGCCGGACGAAACACAGGUGCUGCAUGGCUGUCGUCAGCUCGUGUCGUGAGAUGUUGGGUUAAGUCCCGCAACGAGCGCAACCCUCACUUUUAGUUGCCAUCAUUAAGUUGGGCACUCUGAAAGAACUGCCAGUGAUAAGCUGGAGGAAGGUGGGGAUGACGUCAAGUCCUCAUGGCCCUUACGUGUUGGGCUACACACGUGCUACAAUGGUAUCUACAACAGGAAGCAAGACUGCGAAGUUAAGCAAAUCCCUAAAAGAUACCUCAGUUCGGAUUGCACUCUGCAACUCGAGUGCAUGAAGCUGGAAUUACUAGUAAUCGUGGAUCAGCGUGCCACGGUGAAUGCGUUCCCGGGUCUUGUACACACCGCCCGUCACACCAUGGGAGUUGGUUCUACCUUAAGGCAAGGUUUUAAACCCUUGACCACGGUAUAGUCAGCGACUGGGGUGAAGUCGUAACAAGGUAGCC
RNAcentral lists this ribosomal RNA (1436 nucleotides) under uncultured Pelagibacterales bacterium. RNAcentral's name for it is "bacterial SSU rRNA". It matches the Rfam family "Bacterial small subunit ribosomal RNA". The record is from RNAcentral. Lineage: Bacteria; Pseudomonadati; Pseudomonadota; Alphaproteobacteria; Candidatus Pelagibacterales.